GACGAACGCUGGCGGCGUGCUUAACACAUGCAAGUCGAACGGAAAGGCCCUGCUUUUGUGGGGUGCUCGAGUGGCGAACGGGUGAGUAACACGUGAGUAACCUGCCCUUGACUUUGGGAUAACUUCAGGAAACUGGGGCUAAUAUCGGAUAGGAGCUCCUGCUGCAUGGUGGGGGUUGGAAAGUUUCGGCGGUUGGGGAUGGACUCGCGGCUUAUCAGCUUGUUGGUGGGGUAGUGGCUUACCAAGGCUUUGACGGGUAGCCGGCCUGAGAGGGUGACCGGCCACAUUGGGACUGAGAUACGGCCCAGACUCCUACGGUAGGCAGCAGUGGGGAAUAUUGCACAAUGGGCGGAAGCCUGAUGCAGCAGCGCCGCGUGCGGGAUGACGGCCUUCGGGUUGUAAACCGCUUUCGCCUGUGACGAAGCGUGAGUGACGGUAAUGGGUAAAGAAGCACCGGCUAACUACGUG
This 468-nucleotide ribosomal RNA is filed under the name uncultured bacterium. RNAcentral describes it as "partial 16S ribosomal RNA". It matches the Rfam family "Bacterial small subunit ribosomal RNA", at positions 28 to 507 of the family's 1533-position model. The record is from RNAcentral.